Molecule: ribosomal RNA, 492 nt
Filed under: uncultured bacterium
Lineage: Bacteria
Description: partial 16S ribosomal RNA
Rfam family: Bacterial small subunit ribosomal RNA
Source: RNAcentral
AGUGAACGCUGGCGGUAGGCCUAACACAUGCAAGUCGAACGGCAGCACAGUAAGAGCUUGCUCUUACGGGUGGCGAGUGGCGGACGGGUGAGGAAUACAUCGGAAUCUACUUUUUCGUGGGGGAUAACGUAGGGAAACUUACGCUAAUACCGCAUACGACCUACGGGUGAAAGCAGGGGAUCUUCGGACCUUGCGCGAUUGAAUGAGCCGAUGUCGGAUUAGCUAGUUGGCGGGGUAAAGGCCCACCAAGGCGACGAUCCGUAGCUGGUCUGAGAGGAUGAUCAGCCACACUGGAACUGAGACACGGUCCAGACUCCUACGGGAGGCAGCAGUGGGGAAUAUUGGACAAUGGGCGCAAGCCUGAUCCAGCCAUACCGCGUGGGUGAAGAAGGCCUUCGGGUUGUAAAGCCCUUUUGUUGGAAAAGAAAAGCAGCAGGUUAAUACCCCGCUGUUCUGACGGUACCCAAAGAACAAGCACCGGCUAACUUCGUG